This 1445-nucleotide long non-coding RNA is filed under the name Homo sapiens (human). RNAcentral's name for it is "HSALNT0395372". Lineage: Eukaryota; Metazoa; Chordata; Mammalia; Primates; Hominidae. The record is from RNAcentral.
CUCGGGCGCCGCGCCUCCUGUUCCGGGCGCGCGGGGUCGGCCGGCCGCCUUCGCUGCUCCGCCGCGGCUCUCAGCGCCGCUCAGCGCGGCGGGCCCGCCCGGGCUCAGGUGCCCCCCGCUCUCCGGACCUUCUCGCCCGGCCCCGCGUCCCCUCCGCGGGCUUCCCCCGGCGGCCGGCCGGGCUCGGAGGCUCGCGGCCGGAGCGGAGCGGAGUGCGCACGCCGGGGUGGCAGGACUUCGGCAAGACCAACUUUCCGUGGUCCUGUCUGGUGUGAACCGUCAGCACAGAUGGCCUCCUGGAGCUUCCCCGAGUCGUUCGCUGGGGGAAGCGGGCGGUGAGCGGCCAGCCCGGGCGCUCCGCAGGCCGCGAGCUCCCGGCAGGGCUGGUGGCGGGGGUCCGCCUGGGGGAGGAAUCCCCGCCUGCUCCAUCGGACCCGGCCUGGCGCGGCUCGCGGCGCUCGGCGGGCUCCCUUCCAUUCUAGAAUCUUCCCGCUUGCUUCCCAGCCCGCGUUCUUCCGCCUGCCUUUAAUUGUGUGUGGACGUGGGGAGGAUCUUCUAAGUCCCUCCAACGAAGGCAAGUGUGAGACUCUGGCCCUUUAUUUGUAAGAAGCAAGCCUUCAGAUUGCAGAAGUGUCGCGCGGGUCGCCGUGCGUUGCGCGAGUGGGAAGAUGGAGGAGGCCGGCACGCUGCUUUCGUGGACGCAAGUGAACCGGGCGUGAAGGCAGGGUGCGAGCUCUGCCCUUGGCCCAGCCCUGCGUGGGCGCCGUCCCAGAUUCCGGGCGGUGCGGGGUGCAGAGAUCUGGAGAGACUUGCGGGCUCCCCAGCGCAGGCUGCUCUGGGAUUUCGUUGGAAGAUCCGGCAGAGCCUUGGAGGAGAGGGCCCGGGAGGCUGUGUGUGCAGCGGAAACUUGUACGAAUGCCCCCACAGCGGAAAUGGUGCGCACGAGUAAUUUCUGCGGUGCACCCUUUUAAAAAUUGACAAGUGAACAAGAUCAAUUUUUUAAGAAAGCAAAGGUAGAAAACAAAAGGCGUGCGACUUCUUGACUGGCUUGUUCCCGCCUUUCUUCCUUCUCUAUACUCAGAUCAGAAACUUUUCUUUAAUUGCUCUUAUUCAGUGCGACAACUUUUAAUAAAAGCAUUUGCAUUUUAAGCCUGAGUUGCAACCAUAGAUUUAUUGCGAAGUGACAACGUGUCUAUGGAAUAUUUUCGCAGAUGAGACAGGACAUGCGCUCUAGUCGUGCCCAGAUUAAAGCGACGCUGGGCCAUGUGCCUGUGUAGUGCAGACUCGGAGGGGCACACACAUACUCGUCACCACAUGACCACUGUCUAUUAAUAUUGUCAUACCUAAACACUCGCAAAAACAAAAGUUGCUUUUCUUCCCUGUAAUUAAAUCUAAUUUGUUAAUUGUCUUUCCUCUUGCAAUGUUGUUUUCAUCUUGAGGUGACA